GAUCUUCAAACCAUGAACAGUGAGAUCAGACCUGAGCUGAAGUAAGAUGCAUAACUGACUGAACCUUUCAGGAGUCCCUAAAUGAAGAUGGAAAUUACUGGCCUAGGGGAGAUGGAAACCAACCAUAAGAUUAUGGCCAUCCUUAUCAAAUUCAGUAUCCAGUAAUGUCGAAGGAUGACUUGGAGGGCUUUCCUGCCCCAGAAUGCAGAAAUACUCGAAUGGUAUGAAUGCUCUAUGACUGUAAAAGAAGCUGGGCUCCUAGUAUCUCAGUCUCCACCAGCAUCAUCAGUGAUUUUCAGUUUAUGCCUACAUUCAUGGAAGUGCUUUUGGUUUUCCAUUGAUCAUGCUAGGAGAUGAAUGG
Hyaena hyaena (striped hyena) is the source of this 361-nucleotide long non-coding RNA. RefSeq lists it as uncharacterized. The record is from RefSeq and is a predicted model, not a curated record. NCBI's taxonomy places the organism in Eukaryota, Metazoa, Chordata, Mammalia, Carnivora, Hyaenidae. The transcript has 3 exons.